Molecule: ribosomal RNA, 520 nt
Filed under: Mursia sp. IEO-CD-MZ09/1775-2
Lineage: Eukaryota; Metazoa; Arthropoda; Malacostraca; Decapoda; Calappidae
Description: partial large subunit ribosomal RNA
Rfam family: Archaeal large subunit ribosomal RNA
Source: RNAcentral
CUGACGUUAAUAAGUUUAAGAGCCGCGGUAUACUGACCGUGCAAAGGUAGCAUAAUCAUUAGUUUUUUAAUUGAAAACUUGUAUGAAGGGUUUGACAAAAGAAAUACUGUCUUUAUUUUAAAUAUUGAAUUUAACUUUUAAGUGAGAAGGCUUAAAUUAUUUGGGGGGACGAUAAGACCCUAUAAAGCUUUAUUUAUUAUUUUAAAUUUAUUAAAGUAAUAAUUUAAAAAUAUGUUUAGAAUAGUUUAUUUUGUUGGGGCGACAGAGAUAUAAUUUAAAUAACUGUUUGAAAUUUAAACAGAGAUACUUGGGUAAGAGUAAAUGAUCCUUUUUAAAGAUUAAAAGAACAAGUUACUUUAGGGAUAACAGCGUAAUUUUCUUUGAGAGUUCCUAUCGAAAAGAAAGUUUGCGACCUCGAUGUUGAAUUAAAAGAUCUUUAUUGUGCAGCAGCUUUAAGAGAAGGUCUGUUCGACCUUUAAAUUUUUACAUGAUUUGAGUUCAGAUCGGCGUGAGCCAGGUU